This 253-nucleotide ribosomal RNA is filed under the name uncultured bacterium. Its description in RNAcentral is "partial 16S ribosomal RNA". It matches the Rfam family "Bacterial small subunit ribosomal RNA", at positions 524 to 776 of the family's 1533-position model. The record is from RNAcentral.
UACGUAGGGUGCAAGCGUUGUCCGGAAUUAUUGGGCGUAAAGAGCUCGUAGGCGGUUUGUCGCGUCUGCUGUGAAAACCCGAGGCUCAACCUCGGGCCUGCAGUGGGUACGGGCAGACUAGAGUGCGGUAGGGGAGAUUGGAAUUCCUGGUGUAGCGGUGGAAUGCGCAGAUAUCAGGAGGAACCCCAAUGGCGAAGGCAGAUCUCUGGGCCGUAACUGACGCUGAGGAGCGAAAGCAUGGGGAGCGAACGGG